RNAcentral lists this ribosomal RNA (1372 nucleotides) under uncultured bacterium. Its description in RNAcentral is "bacterial SSU rRNA". It matches the Rfam family "Bacterial small subunit ribosomal RNA", at positions 28 to 1381 of the family's 1533-position model. The record is from RNAcentral.
GAUAAACGCUGGCGGCGUGCCUAAUACAUGCAAGUCGAGCGAACGGACGAGAAGCUUGCUUCUCUGAUGUUAGCGGCGGACGGGUGAGUAACACGUGGAUAACCUACCUAUAAGACUGGGAUAACUUCGGGAAACCGGAGCUAAUACCGGAUAAUAUUUUGAACCGCAUGGUUCAAAAGUGAAAGACGGUCUUGCUGUCACUUAUAGAUGGAUCCGCGCUGCAUUAGCUAGUUGGUAAGGUAACGGCUUACCAAGGCAACGAUGCAUAGCCGACCUGAGAGGGUGAUCGGCCACACUGGAACUGAGACACGGUCCAGACUCCUACGGGAGGCAGCAGUAGGGAAUCUUCCGCAAUGGGCGAAAGCCUGACGGAGCAACGCCGCGUGAGUGAUGAAGGUCUUCGGAUCGUAAAACUCUGUUAUUAGGGAAGAACAUAUGUGUAAGUAACUGUGCACAUCUUGACGGUACCUAAUCAGAAAGCCACGGCUAACUACGUGCCAGCAGCCGCGGUAAUACGUAGGUGGCAAGCGUUAUCCGGAAUUAUUGGGCGUAAAGCGCGCGUAGGCGGUUUUUUAAGUCUGAUGUGAAAGCCCACGGCUCAACCGUGGAGGGUCAUUGGAAACUGGAAAACUUGAGUGCAGAAGAGGAAAGUGGAAUUCCAUGUGUAGCGGUGAAAUGCGCAGAGAUAUGGAGGAACACCAGUGGCGAAGGCGACUUUCUGGUCUGUAACUGACGCUGAUGUGCGAAAGCGUGGGGAUCAAACAGGAUUAGAUACCCUGGUAGUCCACGCCGUAAACGAUGAGUGCUAGGUGUUAGGGGGUUUCCGCCCCUUGGUGCUGCAGCUAACGCAUUAAGCACUCCGCCUGGGGAGUACGACCGCAAGGUUGAAACUCAAAGGAAUUGACGGGGACCCGCACAAGCGGUGGAGCAUGUGGUUUAAUUCGAAGCAACGCGAAGAACCUUACCAAAUCUUGACAUCCUUUGACAACUCUAGAGAUAGAGCCUUCCCCUUCGGGGGACAAAGUGACAGGUGGUGCAUGGUUGUCGUCAGCUCGUGUCGUGAGAUGUUGGGUUAAGUCCCGCAACGAGCGCAACCCUUAAGCUUAGUUGCCAUCAUUAAGUUGGGCACUCUAAGUUGACUGCCGGUGACAAACCGGAGGAAGGUGGGGAUGACGUCAAAUCAUCAUGCCCCUUAUGAUUUGGGCUACACACGUGCUACAAUGGACAAUACAAAGGGCAGCGAAACCGCGAGGUCAAGCAAAUCCCAUAAAGUUGUUCUCAGUUCGGAUUGUAGUCUGCAACUCGACUACAUGAAGCUGGAAUCGCUAGUAAUCGUAGAUCAGCAUGCUACGGUGAAUACGUUCCCGGGUCU